CAAUAGCGUAUAUUAAAGUUGUUGCGGUUAAAAAGCUCGUAGUUGGAUUUCUGCCGAGGACGACCGGUCCGCCCUCUGGGUGAGUAUCUGGCUCGGCCUGGGCAUCUUCUUGGAGAACGUAGCUGCACUUGACUGUGUGGUGCGGUAUCCAGGACUUUUACUUUGAGGAAAUUAGAGUGUUUCAAGCAGGCUUACGCCUUGAAUACAUUAGCAUGGAAUAAUAAGAUAGGACCUCGGUUCUAUUUUGUUGGUUUCUAGAGCUGAGGUAAUGAUUAAUAGGGAUAGUUGGGGGCAUUCGUAUUUAACUGUCAGAGUUGAAAUUCUUGGAUUUGUUAAAGACGGACUACUGCGAAAGCAUUUGCCAAGGAUGUUUUCAUUGA
This 380-nucleotide ribosomal RNA is filed under the name uncultured eukaryote. Its description in RNAcentral is "partial 18S ribosomal RNA". It matches the Rfam family "Eukaryotic small subunit ribosomal RNA", at positions 592 to 976 of the family's 1831-position model. The record is from RNAcentral.